GCUGGCUUGGCAGGUCGGUCAAUCAUUUGUGUAUAUAAGCACUGCUUUGAGUUAAUGAAAGAGUGGAAGAGGCCGUGAGGGCUGGGCAAAAACAAUGUAGCACAUUUGUGUCACCAAGGAGGAAAGCUCUCGGCAAAGCUGGUGCUGGCUUCUUCCUUGGCGUGUGUGUGUGUGUUCUUGUGUGAGACAAAAGAGAGAUAGAAAGUUGUGCGAGGCAACUCGAGGUAGAAGAAGAAGUGGCGCUGCGAGAGGGCGGCGCCAGCAAUUGGCAUCAGAGCCUUGUUGAUCCGUGGCGGCGACGACGGUGCCGGCGGCUAUGGUGGCCGGCGUGGCGCUGGGCGCGAGGUGAUGGCUGGCAGCGGCGCGAUGCCGCGGGCGGCCGGUUGCGGUGCGAUGCCGCGAGAUGAAGGUGGUGCGAUGAUCGGCGUCGCGAGGACGUCAUCCACGACAAGAUGGUCCGUGGUGACCGGCGCUGCAACGGCGUCGGUUGUGGCGCGACGGACUUCAUGCGAGAUGGAGGCCGACGACGCAAGAAGGAGGAUGGUGGCCAUGCGGUGCCGCUAUGUGAAGAUGGCGGUGCGAAGCUGCCACAACAAGAGUCGGCGUGAUGCCGACGACGAUGGUGUGAUGCCAUCGUCAUCAUGGAAAGUUGGUGUGAAGCCAACAAAAGUUACGGUGCGAUGCCGCUUGGCGAAGACGGCGUGGUGAUCGGCGCUGCGACAGCGUCGUCCACGUCAAGAGGUGGCCGCUGCGUGCGGCAAGAGUACAUGGUGAUGGACGCGGGCGCUGCGAUGACGUCGGUCCAGGCAAGGUGUGCAGCGCCGCGAUUGUGUCGUCAAGUGGCAGCGGGUGAACCGCGUGAAGAUUGGAGAAUCAAGAUUAGGAGGGAAAAUGUUAGGUUUAAUCUUGAUUCAUGUAUCUGCAUAUUUAGUUUGCUUUUGUUAUGUAUGUAGGAUAGGUUAGAGAGUAGCUAGUCCGGUGAAGCUUCAGCAGAGACGAGUGGAGAAGGCGAGAUGCCAAGGGGUCGUGUGAUACGACGACGAUGGCGAGAUGCCGAUGGUGGCGUGAGGCUGCAGUGUUGCGCGAGGCAGCGUGGCCGUGUGAUGCGGCAAGUGCGACCAAGGCUGGAGCGUGGGACUCUAUGAUGCAUGUUGAGUUGGCCUAGUCCUUUGGCCGUUAAGAGGAGGUUGAGCAAGGGCCGGGCAUAGGCGUGCAUGUAGUAGUGAUUAGGCUGCAUGCAUGAGUUUGUUAGCCGGUGCUGCAGGUCCUGCGGAUAUUCAACGAAAGUUGGGGUCGUCCGUGCAGUACUGGCCGUAGGAAAAGGUCAUGUGUUAGUGGCCUGGGUUAGUGCGUGAGUGCAUGGGUUAGUGGGUUAGUGUAGCCGGGUGUGGCGGCUGGCUUGGCAGGUCGGUCAAUCAUUUGUGUAUAUAAGCACUGCUUUGAGUUAAUGAAAGAGUGGAAGAGGCCGUGAGGGCUGGGCAAAAACAAUGUAGCACAUUUGUGUCACCAAGGAGGAAAGCUCUCGGCAAAGCUGGUGCUGGCUUCUUCCUUGGCGUGUGUGUGUGUGUUCUUGUGUGAGACAAAAGAGAGAUAGAAAGUUGUGCGAGGCAACUCGAGGUAGAAGAAGAAGUGGCGCUGCGAGAGGGCGGCGCCAGCAAUUGGCAUCAGAGCCUUGUUGAUCCGUGGCGGCGACGACGGUGCCGGCGGCUAUGGUGGCCGGCGUGGCGCUGGGCGCGAGGUGAUGGCUGGCAGCGGCGCGAUGCCGCGGGCGGCCGGUUGCGGUGCGAUGCCGCGAGAUGAAGGUGGUGCGAUGAUCGGCGUCGCGAGGACGUCAUCCACGACAAGAUGGUCCGUGGUGACCGGCGCUGCAACGGCGUCGGUUGUGGCGCGACGGACUUCAUGCGAGAUGGAGGCCGACGACGCAAGAAGGAGGAUGGUGGCCAUGCGGUGCCGCUAUGUGAAGAUGGCGGUGCGAAGCUGCCACAACAAGAGUCGGCGUGAUGCCGACGACGAUGGUGUGAUGCCAUCGUCAUCAUGGAAAGUUGGUGUGAAGCCAACAAAAGUUACGGUGCGAUGCCGCUUGGCGAAGACGGCGUGGUGAUCGGCGCUGCGACAGCGUCGUCCACGUCAAGAGGUGGCCGCUGCGUGCGGCAAGAGUACAUGGUGAUGGACGCGGGCGCUGCGAUGACGUCGGUCCAGGCAAGGUGUGCAGCGCCGCGAUUGUGUCGUCAAGUGGCAGCGGGUGAACCGCGUGAAGAUUGGAGAAUCAAGAUUAGGAGGGAAAAUGUUAGGUUUAAUCUUGAUUCAUGUAUCUGCAUAUUUAGUUUGCUUUUGUUAUGUAUGUAGGAUAGGUUAGAGAGUAGCUAGUCCGGUGAAGCUUCAGCAGAGACGAGUGGAGAAGGCGAGAUGCCAAGGGGUCGUGUGAUACGACGACGAUGGCGAGAUGCCGAUGGUGGCGUGAGGCUGCAGUGUUGCGCGAGGCAGCGUGGCCGUGUGAUGCGGCAAGUGCGACCAAGGCUGGAGCGUGGGACUCUAUGAUGCAUGUUGAGUUGGCCUAGUCCUUUGGCCGUUAAGAGGAGG
This 2580-nucleotide long non-coding RNA is filed under the name Triticum aestivum (bread wheat). RNAcentral describes it as "long non-coding RNA (TAES_LNC013944)". Lineage: Eukaryota; Viridiplantae; Streptophyta; Magnoliopsida; Poales; Poaceae. The record is from RNAcentral.